GCGUGUUUCUGUGGGUUUAUUCAGACGUGUGUAACAGAGCCAGCAGGCAACGUUAGUUAUUAACACAGCCGCCGCUUAGAAACCACUCACAGGGUUAAAUAUUAAGCAGGAAUGGGUCCUCUUCAAGUGGUUUCUCACCGACUUCAGUCCAUUAAGCAGCUGACAAACGAGAAUCAGAAGUCUGGUUUAUUUUAGCAGAAAAAAAUCAUGUUUGGACAAAACAUUACAGCGAGCAAUGGUUCAACUAAUCAUCUGAAUAACUGAGAGGGAGAAACCGAGUGUGCCUAACGUAUUAACCAGCUGAGUUCAAGAUGUUAAAAAGCCAAUGGCUGCUGCAUACAUUACUGUUGAGUGAGUCGGUACUGAGGGUUUUACAAACCAGGAUCAGUCGCUGUUCUAACCUAAAAAUGGACACAACACAACGCCGCAGCAGAGGUCAAAGGGUUCUGGUCCAAAGCCGGGAAAAGGACAAGCAGGGUGGAAGGUGUCACCCUCCGGUGCUUUAUGGCGCCGCCGGCCUUAACGACGUCUAACAAAAUGUCAGCAGCCGACCAAUGAUGCGCCGGCAGCCAAGACAGAGAGAUUUAGUCAAGUGGGAAGUCUUUAAGAGUCAUUUUAGAGAGCAAGAUAAAAGAAUGGGGGAGGGGAGACGAAGCCUCCAGCUCCAGGCCUCCUCCGCCCACUGCUCCGUUCCUCAACCCAGGUGCAUUUGGACUGUCCACGCUGAACCAGCGGCUCGUUCUUUACUUCCUGUGGAGUCAUUCAAUUUAUUAGUCAAAGUCAGUCGCUCCUGAUGUUUAUUUUCUGCUCCAGGUCCAUUUUUAGUCAGUUGUAUAGAACUGUUAGCUUCUGCUUAGUGCAGCGUCUGGUUUCUUCCACUGCUUCCUCUGAAGUUUGAGUUUUAGCCAGCUCCACUGUAAUAAAUCUAGUGUAUGUUCAAAGAGUGACUCGUGUCAUUUGGGUCUGUGUCUGUCAUGGUUUGAGGACAAUCCCAAAUUGACCAGAACACGUUAGUCAGAGUCUAAGCUGAUAGUAAACAAACAUCUGUAAAGACUCUGCCUGAUUUUGUCUGAAGCAGGACCAACAUCCAUCCAUCAGCAGCCAUCAGCUCUAAUGGUUCACUGAUCACUAAAAGCUGAAAUGUUCCCUCUUUAAAUGCUAAUUUUCAUGUGUGUGUUAAUGGUUGUAUGGUAGGCUUGAGUCUGUGUUCUAUAAAUACAUGUGAACAAUUAUUUUCUAGGCAGUGAGGAAAUCCAUCAAUAAUUCCCUUGUUGCUGCAGAAGCACAAAAGCCAAUCAGGAGAAAACAGGGAAUCAUAUUUAUAAACCUUAAACUGCUCACACAGCAAAACGCUGUGUGUGUGUGUGUGUGUGUGUGUGUGUGUGUGUGUGUGGUGACAGAUGUCAAUAACUUUGUUUUUACAUAGAAAGCAACCAGAGACUUAAUUAUCGCUGUGAGCAGCUUUGAACGAAGUGACAAAUGAAGUUUCAACAUUUCGGAGCAAACAAAAUAUGAACCAGCUGCUUCCUGGUAAAUAUGUGAAACAAAUGUGUAAAUACAGCAACUUAAAAAUGUAAUAUCUAUAAUUUUACUCCUUCCAUGAAUCUGAAAGUUUUGUAUUUAAAUGGAAAUAAUAAAAAAAUCUGUACAAUAAAAAACAAAAAAAGCUAAUGAACAAUAAUUGCUGAUGCUGAUACAACAAAAUAAAAAAUAAUUAAAGAUACAUUUUACUCUACAAUCAAAACUAGGAAAUAAACCUGGUAAUGAGACAGAUGCAGCAGGAGUUAAUGGACAACGUCUGCAGCUCGAUGCACCUCCCACCUGUGCAUCUUGUUAUUGUACUUGUUUAUCUGCUGGUUCACACAUGAACAAAGAUUCAUCUUAUUUUUACUUGGGGCUUUGGUUGAGACACGUUUUUAAGCAGUUUAAGAAAUUUUCAUUUCCUGCCCUGUGUAUUUUGGGUUACCCUCUGCUCCUCGGUUGAUCCGAAUCAGAAUCAGAAUCAGAAUCAGCUUUAUUGCCAGGAUAGGUACUGGUAUUUGUACUGGUACUGAUCAUGUACUGGUUAAUAAACUGCACAGAGUGAAAGGUCCAGAAUGUAGAUCUGUGCUCUGAUCAGGAUAAAGAUACUGUCAAAUACUUUUUACAAAAACAAAGUCUUGCAAGUUUUGGAGUCAAGAUCUCAUCUUGACCUCCACAGUUUUCCUGAACUGCCAUGUCUUAAUUACAUUUCUCACUGUGGAAACUGCAAGCUGACAAUGCUUUGCUAUCUUCUUGUAGCCUUUGUCUGCAUUGUGAGCAUCAAUAACUUUCAUGUUUAGAGUCUUAGAAAGCUGUUUAGAAGGACCCAUUGUUGUUGAGGGCUCAAAGUAUAUGUAAAGCUUUGUAAUUGGCAUUCACUAAUGACAGCCAUACAUCAGAGCUAAUGAGCUGAUUAAGGUCUGAAACCUCGGAGGCACAGUGCCACAAUAAUGUUUUUUAUUUUUUUUAUCUUUGUUCAAUCAACACAGAGAGACUGUGUUAACAUCAACAAAAAUCCCCAACAUCUGUUAUUUAUCCAGGGGUGCCUAAACCUUUGCAUAUGACAGUAUAUAUGUGUAUAUAAUGAGUUUUAGAUUUUAUAAACAGAAUCAAAUUAAUAUAAUUUUUAAUAUGAAUGAAUGUAAAAGAGUUGUAAUUUCACCUCACAAAUUCAAACUACUAUCUUUAUUAUCUAAAUCGGCUAACUACUGCAUGCUACCAGCUGCUGAUCCCAGAUGUGUAUCAGCUGUGAUGCAGCCUGCCAGUGCGUCGCUGAGUAGAGGCUUGUGAUAAAGCUGUGUUAAUCAGUAGAAGAAGCUUUGUGGUCGAGACAAAGGAGCCUAAUAGUGGCUUUGUUCCUGUGAGGAUUGCUUUGCUCGUCAUUAAAGACAGUGGACAAGUUCACUUAACCUACUUAACAGGAGGCUCACUGACGAGGAGAAACUGCAAACCGAAUCCUUAUUAUCGUUCUGUUUAUGACGUGACCUACAGUUGCUGCUAUAAGACACAGAUCAGAACUCCCAGUUCCUGAGCUCCCAUUGCUUAAACUUGCUUCUCUUUUCCUUAAAGCCGACCGACGCAUUGGUCCUGAUGCCAUAAGAGAACAUUUUAAAAAACAGCAAAAGCUGGGGGAAAAUAAAACGCUGAUACUGGGGGUUUGUUCCCCAA
Long non-coding RNA from Betta splendens (Siamese fighting fish), 3189 nucleotides. RefSeq lists it as uncharacterized. The transcript has 3 exons. The record is from RefSeq and is a predicted model, not a curated record. NCBI's taxonomy places the organism in Eukaryota, Metazoa, Chordata, Actinopteri, Anabantiformes, Osphronemidae.